This 854-nucleotide ribosomal RNA is filed under the name uncultured soil bacterium. RNAcentral's name for it is "bacterial SSU rRNA". It matches the Rfam family "Bacterial small subunit ribosomal RNA", at positions 8 to 856 of the family's 1533-position model. The record is from RNAcentral.
AGAGUUUGAUCCUGGCUCAGAUUGAACGCUGGCGGCGUGCCUAACACAUGCAAGUCGAGCGGUAACAGGUGUAGCAAUACAUGCUGACGAGCGGCGGACGGGUGAGUAACGCUUGGGAAUCUGCCUAUUAGUGGGGGACAACCCGGGGAAACUCGGGCUAAUACCGCAUACGAUCUACGGAUGAAAGCCGGGGACCGCAAGGCCUGGCGCUAAUAGAUGAGCCCAAGUCGGAUUAGCUAGUUGGUGGGGUAAAGGCCUACCAAGGCGACGAUCCGUAACUGGUCUGAGAGGACGACCAGUCGCACCGGAACUGAGACACGGUCCGGACUCCUACGGGAGGCAGCAGUGGGGAAUAUUGGACAAUGGGGGGAACCCUGAUCCAGCCAUGCCGCGUGUGUGAAGAAGGCCUUAUGGUUGUAAAGCACUUUAAGCGAGGAGGAGGCUACUGAGACUAAUACUCUUGGAUAGUGGACGUUACUCGCAGAAUAAGCACCGGCUAACUCUGUGCCAGCAGCCGCGGUAAUACAGAGGGUGCGAGCGUUAAUCGGAUUUACUGGGCGUAAAGCGUGCGUAGGCGGCUUUUUAAGUCGGAUGUGAAAUCCCCGAGCUUAACUUGGGAAUUGCAUUCGAUACUGGGAAGCUAGAGUAUGGGAGAGGAUGGUAGAAUUCCAGGUGUAGCGGUGAAAUGCGUAGAGAUCUGGAGGAAUACCGAUGGCGAAGGCAGCCAUCUGGGCCUAAUACUGACGCUGAGGUACGAUAGCAUGGGGAGCAAACAGGAAUUAGAUACACUGUAGUCCAUGCCCUAAACGAUGUCGACUAGCCUUUGCGCCUUUGAGGUUUUAGGGUGCACUAAC